CGAGCCGCGGCGGGAGAGUCUUCGCCAGCCGGAUCCGGUGAAGCACCGAAGGAGCAAGCCUCCCCGCAAUCUCUCAGGUACAGCUACCGCCACGGCCAG
Molecule: non-coding RNA, 99 nt
Filed under: Kibdelosporangium phytohabitans
Lineage: Bacteria; Bacillati; Actinomycetota; Actinomycetes; Pseudonocardiales; Pseudonocardiaceae
Description: Glycine sequence
Rfam family: Glycine riboswitch aptamer
About the family: This family represents the bacterial glycine riboswitch. Glycine riboswitches usually consist of two metabolite-binding aptamers domains with similar structures in tandem. The aptamers cooperatively bind glycine to regulate the expression of downstream genes.
Source: Rfam by way of RNAcentral